RNAcentral lists this ribosomal RNA (461 nucleotides) under Dasineura oleae. RNAcentral's name for it is "partial large subunit ribosomal RNA". It matches the Rfam family "Eukaryotic large subunit ribosomal RNA", at positions 329 to 657 of the family's 3401-position model. The record is from RNAcentral. Lineage: Eukaryota; Metazoa; Arthropoda; Insecta; Diptera; Cecidomyiidae.
CGAAACCGAUAGCGAACAAGUACCGUGAGGGAAAGUUGAAAAGUACUCUGAAUAGAGAGUUAAAUAGUACGUGAAACCGCUUAGGGGUUAAGCCCGAUGAACCCGAAUAUCUGAUGUGAGAAAUUCAAUACAAUUCAAAUUCAUAUUUUUAUAUUGGAUUUGUAUAGUAUGCACUUUUCUCAUAGUAAGACAUUGUAAUCCAUUGAUAUUAUAUCUCAUUUAUGAGAUGAUUUAACAUAUGGACAAAAUGUUUAUGAUUAUUCUAUCAGUGAUAUGUUUACAUGUCAUAUGAAUAAAAUCGUUUUGUUUCCUGUUUAAAUAGUCGAUGGAUUUUUCAUUGAAAUCAUGUUUGCAAUUUAUUUUGCGUUUCGUAUCAUUAAUUUUUAAUUUUUGAUAGCAGAAAUGGCAUGUAUUCGAUUAACAAUGCGAUAGAUUUGGGAUACUUUCAGGACCCGUCUUGA